RNAcentral lists this ribosomal RNA (253 nucleotides) under uncultured bacterium. RNAcentral's name for it is "partial 16S ribosomal RNA". It matches the Rfam family "Bacterial small subunit ribosomal RNA", at positions 524 to 776 of the family's 1533-position model. The record is from RNAcentral.
UACGAAGGGGGCUAGCGUUGCUCGGAAUCACUGGGCGUAAAGCGCACGUAGGCGGACUCUUAAGUCAGGGGUGAAAUCCUGGAGCUCAACCCCAGAACUGCCUUUGAUACUGGGAGUCUUGAGUUCGGGAGAGGUGAGUGGAACUGCGAGUGUAGAGGUGAAAUUCGUAGAUAUUCGCAAGAACACCAGUGGCGAAGGCGGCUCACUGGCCCGGUACUGACGCUGAGGCACGAAAGCGUGGGGAGCAAACAGG